GAAACAGUAUCAACAUGUCUAUAUUAGAGCUUUUUUUAUUUGAUACACUAUCCAGAAAUUCAAGCCAAAAUUCAAGAAGAAAUUUGUAAUAUGCUUUCAGGUGAAAAAUAUAAUUCUUACAAUUAUCAUUUUUCUUUUUAAAUCAAAAAAAUAAUCUUUUUAAAGAUGGAAACAUUGGGCUGAAACCACCCAGAUUUGAAGACAGGAAAAUUUUACCAUACACAGAAGCUUUCAUAAGUGAAAUAUUCAGACAUGUCUCUUUUCUUCCAUUUACUAUUCCACAUUAUACUGCAGUGGACACUACUCUGAAUGGAUAUUUCAUUCCCAGGCAAAUUUGCACCUAUAUUAACAUGUAUCAAGUAAACCAUGAUGAAACUAUUUGGGAUAAUCCUAACUUAUUUAGACCUGAGAGAUUUCUAAACGAAAACAGAGAACUGAAUAAAAGUCUCAUCGAGAAAGUUUUGAUAUUUGGAAUGGGCAUCUGGAAGUGUCUGGGAGAAGAUGUUGCACGGAAUGAGAUAUUCAUUUUCAUCACUACUGUUCUGCAGCAGCUCAAGGUGAAAAAAUGCCCCAGAGCCCAGCUAAACCUGACUCCUACAUAUGGGUUAGCCAUGAGGCCAAAACCAUACCAACUCCAAGCAGAACUCCACUCCUCAGGUAGUUUAUCUGCUUAGAUUCUCGGAAUGGGCAGUAGGUUUCUUAUUUAAUUCAGAAAAAUAGAUGAUUUGAGUUUAUUUAACUAGCAAUGUAUAGUUCACAUCCCUGAGCUAUACUAUUAAUGCAACUCUGUGACAUAUUUUAUAAAGUAUGUUGUAUAGCUGUAGUUUCAACAUGAGACUUAUUGUCUUGUGAGGAUAUUUUAAUAUAAUAAUGAAGUGUGAGCCUCACACAGUGGUGUCCCAGGUGUCAUGUGGGUGUGAGUGGUGGAUU
Cebus imitator (Panamanian white-faced capuchin) is the source of this 930-nucleotide long non-coding RNA. RefSeq lists it as uncharacterized. The record is from RefSeq and is a predicted model, not a curated record. NCBI's taxonomy places the organism in Eukaryota, Metazoa, Chordata, Mammalia, Primates, Cebidae. The transcript is spliced from 3 exons.